RNAcentral lists this ribosomal RNA (249 nucleotides) under uncultured bacterium. RNAcentral describes it as "partial 16S ribosomal RNA". It matches the Rfam family "Bacterial small subunit ribosomal RNA", at positions 524 to 776 of the family's 1533-position model. The record is from RNAcentral.
UACGUAGGGUGCGAGCGUUGUCCGGAAUUAUUGGGCGUAAAGAGCUUGUAGGCGGUUUGUCGCGUCUGCCGUGAAAUUUCGAGGCUCAACCUCGAACUUGCGGUGGGUACGGGCAGACUAGAGUGUGGUAGGGGAGACUGGAAUUCCUGGUGUAGCGGUGAAAUGCGCAGAUAUCAGGAGGAACACCGAUGGCGAAGGCACGUCGCUGGCACUGACUGACGUGAGACGAAAGCAUGGGGAGCGAACAGG